GACGAACGCUGGCGGCGUGCCUAAUACAUGCAAGUCGAACGCUAAAGGCGGAGCUUGCUUCUCUGGAUGAGUUGCGAACGGGUGAGUAACGCGUAGGCAACCUGCCUGGUAGCGGGGGAUAACUGUUGGAAACGAUAGCUAAUACCGCAUAAGAGUAGAUGUUGCAUGAGAUUUGCUUAAAACGUGCAAUUGGGUCACUACCAGGUGGACCUGGGUUGUUUUUGCUAGUUGGGGGGGUAACGGCUCUCCAAGGCGACGAUCCUUAGCCGACCGGAGAGGGGGGUCGGCCACACUGGGACUGAGACACGGCCAAGACGCCUGCGGGAGGCAGCAGUAGGGAAUGUGCGGCAAUGGACGGAAGGCUGGCCGAGCAACGCCGCGUGAGAGAAGAAGGCUGUCGGAUCGUAAAGCUCGGUUGUAAGAGAAGAACGGGUGUGAGAGGGGAAAGUUCACGCUGUGACGGUAGCUGAACAGAAAGGGACGGCUAACUACGUG
Molecule: ribosomal RNA, 495 nt
Filed under: uncultured bacterium
Lineage: Bacteria
Description: partial 16S ribosomal RNA
Rfam family: Bacterial small subunit ribosomal RNA
Source: RNAcentral